GUACUCACAAAAUUACAUAUGUUAGAGAUUUAAAAAAAAAUUCUAGAAAUCGUAAACUUGUACAAAAGUUUUAAUGAAAAUAAGUACUCAUCACCAAACCCCCACUCACAUGCAAUAACUAAACAUCAAAACUAGUGGACCCCGUAAAUUAUUAUUCAUCACCACAUAAAGGUAAAUAUUCUUUUCUGGAAAAAGAAAAUGCCAAAGUGGAAGAACACACAAAAGCAUCAAUCAAUAAUGCAACACAUAGAUGUUAUACUCAACUAUAGCAUCUCCUGAUGUCAUAUUUAACCACUGUGUUCUGGCCUGAACAUAACCUCUGGCAAACCGGAAAAGCCCACUUCCUCCGACCACCGGCAUCUCUCUCAUCUUGGAAAACACCGUGUUCCGUCCAAGCACCGUGAUAGUACUACCAUUAUACUUACCUUCAAGAAAAGCAAAAUUCAUGGCCAUUAAUAAGCCGAUCUCUUGCUGUGACGCUUGUGCGUAAAACCCUUGUGCUCUUCCCACUAACUUGGAGCUCAUUUCUGGCCCUAACGUUAAAGCGUUAUCGAUCAUCCUUAUCAUCCAGAAGGCUGUAGUUGAUGUGUUAUCCGGCGGUACGACUAGGACGGGGCUAGUGUUAGAGCCUGUGACGGUGUCAUGCCAAUACAAGCGGAAAUGGCUUAGCUUUUCUUUCUUGAGACCAUAUAGCUUCCUGUCCAUGGUUCUCACAAACUCAUUGUCUUCUCCGGCCACCAGUGCGGCGGAGAAGGAAGACAAGAGGGAAAGAAAAAUGAAAUGAGAAGCAAGAAUGGGUAGUCUAGCCAGGGACAAUAUGGGAACUCUAGCAACUCUUGACUAAGCGGCGAAUAUUUGCGGGAGAACACCCGACUCUGGUGCUGUUUGCCCAGUUUAUACUUGUAGAAGUCUUUUUUAGAGUAAAUAUUUUAUUCAUAAUAAUAGAAGUAAAGGCAAUGAGCUGCCCAUAA
This 971-nucleotide unclassified non-coding RNA is filed under the name Hevea brasiliensis (rubber tree). The record is from RNAcentral. Lineage: Eukaryota; Viridiplantae; Streptophyta; Magnoliopsida; Malpighiales; Euphorbiaceae.